CCAGAAUCCCUCCUUCCCGAAGAGCAGCUCUCCUCCGCAGACAGCGCGGGUCACAGGCUGGGGGUCACAGGGGGGCCUGCCGACAGCCAAUCAUCUGGCUCGGGGGGUUUUCCCUCCGUGUGGCGCUGAGCGGCUGGGCCGGCCCCCCCUCCUCAUAUAAGGUAAAACAAAGUCUUUAGCUGCGGCAGGCCGGCCCGCUUCUUCAAAAGCCUGGAGUCUGGAGCCGGGAACCCCCACUCCUCUCACUCCAGGUCCAGACAGUCCACGCUCCACCCGCGGCCAAAGGGGAGACCAGGGGCCGACUAGACCCCCAGCCGGACACAGGCCGCAGGCCACUCCACCCCACGCGGCCCCUGGAACCAGCUCUGGGGGCACCAGGAUGGCACACACACCACUGGCACCUUGAGGAGAGGCAGGGAGCUCGCUUUACCUACUGACAGUGCAGGGGGUUAGGUGUAGAAGAGGAACCCACCAGAGAAGCCAGCCAGCACGAGGUCCAGGCCAACAGACGGGGUAAGAUAAGUGUCUCUCCACAGUGAAUCUGACGGGAGCCAAGAAGGGAGUCAACAGUGUACAGUAAGCGACUGGAGGAUGACGUGGACGUAUGGAGCCUCUCCUGCCGCACAUGGCCGUCUAGCCCAAGGUGCAGUGCUGCAUCUCUGGUCAAUUGGGAGUCUGAGAUGAAGCACUGUAGCUCGGGAGGGAGGGCAGCAGCUCCAGACCCCAUGCUACAUUCACUCACACACUCAAACACCACCAAAUCUGUAGCCCCAUAAUGCACGCCGCAGGCUUACCAUCUGAGGCACGCUAUAAUAGCCAUUGAAAGGUUAAUUACCAUAGUACUACUGUACUAUGACAUAACACAGGGCCUUUAGUAAUGCACUACGACUCGGUCAUUGCCAAGCUAACAAGAAAUGUAUAACACUGUGUUUUAACGGGUUAAGGUGUAAAGUGUGAAGGUGUUCAUGAUCAUUUUUUUUUGUUGCACAUUCAGAAACCUGUCCUUUUCAGCAAUAAUCACUGCUACACCGACUGUGUUCUUAUUUGCUGUUUUUGGGACACCCUGCAAAAAAGAGACUCGUACACAUCCAUAUCACACCUAAUGCUACAACAUGUUAAAGCAUUUUUGAAGUUGACAAAAAAUGUAUAUUUCAAGGAUGUUUACAGACCAUUUUAUACAGAAAAAAAUAUACUGCCUUGUGUGCAGUGCUGCAUGGAGUAUUUACGGGGCCAUAUUUAUGUCUUUGGGGGGAUUGUACAGGAAGACGUUGCCAAAUCCAUUCCAAAUGUUCCCUUACCCCGGGGUCCAGUUUUCCCAGGAAUCCCUUGGGCAAUCAUUAAUGGGGGAUUCCUGGAAAUACUGUUCUUGGGGUUGGGGCCUGACUUCAUGUCUUUACACAGUGCAUAAUGCCCUAUUCGAGGAGGGAAAUUGCUUUUAUUAGUAUUUUAUAUAGUUUUUAUUAAUAGUUGUUAGGCCUAUUACUGUUAUACAGUUGUAAUUAUUCGUUUUUUUGUAGAAUCAAUUAUUUAUGCUGAUUGCCAAUAAAUUAUAAAUGUCUAAUGUGACUCAUUCUUCUCACUACAUAAUGAAACAUUUUAUCAGGGCACAGUAUUCAUUAACAACCAACCAAAUGGAAAACAGUGACAUCUAUGUGCCAGUUGAAUAUAACAGCCAAGCUCUAGGCUACAGUGUCCACAAGGGGGCACAGUAUGAUUUUCCACUCCAUUAUUUCAAGAAAGCCCCACUGGCUGUCGACACAUGCUAGAACAGAUGACCAGAAUUAGGGAUUAUUAUAGCUGUGGGUCUUUUGUUUCCUCUCUCAUGGAAAAUGCGGCUAUCUAAUCACACUGCUAUUUACAGUAGGCUUAUGUUGAUAAAUAUUUGGGAUCUCUAUGGAUUCCAUACAUACAAGCACUAUGCCUAUCAACAGGCUGAUUGAUGAGAAUAUGACAAGGGAACACUAUUUACUUGAGUGUGUAUUUGCUUUCUAAGACGUUUUGGUAUGUGGCGUUCCUCUCAGUUUGAUAUCCCCUCUACGGCAGCAGUGUGUUCAAUAGGCCUCCAUGGUGCCUAUGGCAGCAGGCUGCAAGGCUGAGGGGCAGCUGAAUAUUUCAGCCCUGUGUGAACAGUGGAGUAAAACUGUGAGCAGUCCCUUUAGAACGUGGUAGUAAAAAGAGGGAUUCUGAGCAUGCAGUGAGAGAGUGCAAGUGUGUGUAAGUGUGUGUGUGUGUGUG
This is a long non-coding RNA of Engraulis encrasicolus (European anchovy), 2235 nucleotides long. RefSeq lists it as uncharacterized. The record is from RefSeq and is a predicted model, not a curated record. The transcript has 3 exons. Lineage: Eukaryota; Metazoa; Chordata; Actinopteri; Clupeiformes; Engraulidae.